RNAcentral lists this ribosomal RNA (497 nucleotides) under uncultured bacterium. Its description in RNAcentral is "partial 16S ribosomal RNA". It matches the Rfam family "Bacterial small subunit ribosomal RNA", at positions 28 to 507 of the family's 1533-position model. The record is from RNAcentral.
GAUGAACGCUGGCGGCGUGCCUAAUACAUGCAAGUCAAGCGAACAGAUGAGGAGCUUGCUCCUCUGUCGUUAGCGGCGGACGGGUGAGUAACACGUGGAUAACCCACCUAUAAGACUGGGAUAACUUCGGGAAACCGGCGCUAAUACCGUAUAAUAUAUUGAACCGCAUGGUUCAAUAGUGAAAGACGGUUUUGCUGUCACUUAUAGAUGGAUCCGCGCCGCAUUAGCUAGUUGGUAGGUUAACGGCUUACCAGGGCGACCAUGCGUAGCCGACCGGAGGGAGGGGUAGGCGGCACGGGAGCUGGAACAGCGACCAGAGUCCUGAGAGAGGCAGCAGAAGGGAAUCGUACGCAAUGGGCGAGAGCCUGACGGAGCGACGCGGCGUGAGUGAUGAAAGUCUUCGGUGCGUAAUACUCGCUUAUGAGGGGAGAACAAAUGUGUAAGUAGCUAUGGCCGUCUUGACGGUACCUAGUAAGAAAGCAACGGCUAACUACGUG